This 24-nucleotide microRNA is filed under the name Mus musculus (house mouse). RNAcentral describes it as "mmu-miR-7020-5p". Lineage: Eukaryota; Metazoa; Chordata; Mammalia; Rodentia; Muridae. The record is from miRBase by way of RNAcentral.
UGGGAUGGUGGAGAGGGUGACCAG